This 281-nucleotide ribosomal RNA is filed under the name Pseudomonas sp. BC2_NA3E8. RNAcentral's name for it is "partial 16S ribosomal RNA". It matches the Rfam family "Bacterial small subunit ribosomal RNA", at positions 1069 to 1349 of the family's 1533-position model. Lineage: Bacteria; Pseudomonadati; Pseudomonadota; Gammaproteobacteria; Pseudomonadales; Pseudomonadaceae. The record is from RNAcentral.
GAGAUGUUGGGUUAAGUCCCGUAACGAGCGCAACCCUUGUCCUUAGUUACCAGCACGUAAUGGUGGGCACUCUAAGGAGACUGCCGGUGACAAACCGGAGGAAGGUGGGGAUGACGUCAAGUCAUCAUGGCCCUUACGGCCUGGGCUACACACGUGCUACAAUGGUCGGUACAGAGGGUUGCCAAGCCGCGAGGUGGAGCUAAUCCCAUAAAACCGAUCGUAGUCCGGAUCGCAGUCUGCAACUCGACUGCGUGAAGUCGGAAUCGCUAGUAAUCGCGAAU